Molecule: ribosomal RNA, 253 nt
Filed under: uncultured bacterium
Lineage: Bacteria
Description: partial 16S ribosomal RNA
Rfam family: Bacterial small subunit ribosomal RNA
Source: RNAcentral
UACGGGGGGGGCAAGCGUUGUUCGGAAUUACUGGGCGUAAAGGGUUCGUAGGUGGCCAACUAAGUCAGACGUGAAAUCCCUCAGCUUAACUGGGGAACUGCGUCUGAGACUGAUUGGCUCGAGGACAGGAGAGGAACGCGGAAUUCCAGGUGUAGCGGUGAAAUGCGUAGAUAUCUGGAGGAACACCGGUGGCGAAGGCGGCGUUCUGGACUGUUUCUGACACUGAAUAACGAAAGCCAGGGGAGCAAACGGG